CCUACGGGUGGCUGCAGUGGGGAAUAUUGGACAAUGGGCGAAAGCCUGAUCUAGCCAUGCCGCGUGUGUGAAGAAGGCCUUCGGGUUGUAAAGCACUUUCAGUGGGGAAGAAAGCCUUGGGGCUAAUACCCUCGAGGAAGGACAUCACCCACAGAAGAAGCACCGGCUAACUCCGUGCCAGCAGCCGCGGUAAUACGGAGGGUGCGAGCGUUAAUCGGAAUUACUGGGCGUAAAGCGCGCGUAGGCGGUCUGAUAAGCCGGUUGUGAAAGCCCCGGGCUCAACCUGGGAACGGCAUCCGGAACUGUCAGGCUAGAGUGCAGGAGAGGAAGGUAGAAUUCCCGGUGUAGCGGUGAAAUGCGUAGAGAUCGGGAGGAAUACCAGUGGCGAAGGCGGCCUUCUGGACUGACACUGACGCUGAGGUGCGAAAGCGUGGGUAGCAAACAGGAUUAGAUACCCCAGUAGUC
Molecule: ribosomal RNA, 465 nt
Filed under: Vreelandella stevensii
Lineage: Bacteria; Pseudomonadati; Pseudomonadota; Gammaproteobacteria; Oceanospirillales; Halomonadaceae
Description: partial 16S ribosomal RNA
Rfam family: Bacterial small subunit ribosomal RNA
Source: RNAcentral